This is a long non-coding RNA of Ochotona curzoniae (black-lipped pika), 278 nucleotides long. RefSeq lists it as uncharacterized. The record is from RefSeq and is a predicted model, not a curated record. NCBI's taxonomy places the organism in Eukaryota, Metazoa, Chordata, Mammalia, Lagomorpha, Ochotonidae. The transcript has 3 exons.
UCCAGGUCUCCCACACAGGCCGUAUCUCUUUCCAGGAAUGCCACCCCUCUGGGCCUCGCCCGAGCUUGAUGCCACCCUGAGGACACCCGGGGCCACCUGCCAUGUCAGCCAGGCUGUUUCUGAGCACUUUUCCUGUGGACCCACCGACUGCACAUCUACAAGCAACUGCUCCGGAUUGCAAGGUUCCUACUGGAAAACAUGGCUGAGGAGCUCAAGGCUUUCACCUUCCUGGAACAGUGUGAAGCUCCCAGUAGCUUUGGCACCCACACCAAACCAGU